UAAUACGUAGGGCGCGAGCGUUAAUCGGAAUAAUUGGGCGUAAAGGGUGCGCAGGCGGUAAGUUAAGACGGAUGUGAAAGCCCCGGGCUCAACCUGGGAAUGGCAUACGUGACUGGCUUACUAGAAUAUGGCAGAGGGAGGUAGAAUUCCACAUGUAGCAGUGAAAUGCGUAGAUAUGUGGAGGAACACCGAUGGCGAAGGCAGCCUCCUGGGUUAAUAUUGACGCUCAGGCACGAAAGCGUGGGGAGCAAACAGGAUUAGAUACCCUGGUAGUCCACGCCCUAAACGAUGUCAACUAGUUGUUGGGGAAAACUUUCCUUAGUAACGUAGCUUACGCGUGAAGUUGACCGCCUGGGGAGUACGGUCGCAAGAUUA
Molecule: ribosomal RNA, 375 nt
Filed under: uncultured bacterium
Lineage: Bacteria
Description: bacterial SSU rRNA
Rfam family: Bacterial small subunit ribosomal RNA
Source: RNAcentral